GGUUCGUAGUGACCUGCGGAGGAUCAUUACCGAGUGAGGGCCCUCUGGGUCCAACCUCCCACCCGUGUUUAUUUUACCUUGUUGCUUCGGCGGGCCCGCCUUAACUGGCCGCCGGGGGGCUUACGCCCCCGGGCCCGCGCCCGCCGAAGACACCCUCGAACUCUGUCUGAAGAUUGUAGUCUGAGUGAAAAUAUAAAUUAUUUAAAACUUUCAACAACGGAUCUCUUGGUUCCGGCAUCGAUGAAGAACGCAGCGAAAUGCGAUACGUAAUGUGAAUUGCAAAUUCAGUGAAUCAUCGAGUCUUUGAACGCACAUUGCGCCCCCUGGUAUUCCGGGGGGCAUGCCUGUCCGAGCGUCAUUUCUGCCCUCAAGCACGGCUUGUGUGUUGGGCCCCGUCCUCCGAUCCCGGGGGACGGGCCCGAAAGGCAGCGGCGGCACCGCGUCCGGUCCUCGAGCGUAUGGGGCUUUGUCACCCGCUCUGUAGGCCCGGCCGGCGCUUGCCGAUCAACCCAAAUUUUUAUCCAGGUUGACCUCGGAUCAGGUAGGGAUACCCGCUGAACUUAAGCUAUCA
RNAcentral lists this ribosomal RNA (571 nucleotides) under Penicillium sp. DUCC 7309. Its description in RNAcentral is "eukaryotic LSU rRNA". The stretch from base 206 to 358 matches the Rfam family "5.8S ribosomal RNA". Lineage: Eukaryota; Fungi; Ascomycota; Eurotiomycetes; Eurotiales; Aspergillaceae. The record is from RNAcentral.